GACGAACGCUGGCGGCGUGCUUAACACAUGCAAGUCGAACGGUGAAGCGCCUUCCUUUUUGGUGGGUGUGGAUGAGUGGCGAACGGGUGAGUAACACGUGAGUAACCUGCCCCCUUCUUCUGGAUAACCGCAUGAAAGUGUGGCUAAUACGGGAUAUUCUGGGUCUGUCGCAUGAUGGGUCUGGGACAGAUAUUGUUUCGGUGGGGGAUGGGCUCGCGGCCUAUCAGCUUGUUGGUGGGGUGAUGGCCUACCAAGGCGGUGACGGGUAGCCGGCCUGAGAGGGUGGACGGUCACACUGGGACUGAGACACGGCCCAGACGCCGACGGGAGGCAGCAGUGGGGAAUAUUGCACAAUGGGCGCAAGCCUGAUGCAGCGACGCCGCGUGAGGGAUGGAGGCCUUCGGGUUGUGAACCUCUUUCGCCAGUGAAGCAGGCCUGCCUCGUUUGUGGGUGGGUUGACGGUAGCGGGAUAAGAAGCGCCGGCUAACUACGU
This 493-nucleotide ribosomal RNA is filed under the name uncultured bacterium. RNAcentral's name for it is "partial 16S ribosomal RNA". It matches the Rfam family "Bacterial small subunit ribosomal RNA", at positions 28 to 506 of the family's 1533-position model. The record is from RNAcentral.